AACGAACGCUGGCGGCAUGCCUAACACAUGCAAGUCGAACGAUUGCCUUCGGGUGAUAGUGGCGCACGGGUGCGUAACGCGUGGGAAUCUGCCCUUAGGUUCGGAAUAACAGCUGGAAACGGCUGCUAAUACCGGAUGAUAUCGCGAGAUCAAAGAUUUAUCGCCUGAGGAUGAGCCCGCGUUGGAUUAGGUAGUUGGUGGGGUAAAGGCCUACCAAGCCGACGAUCCAUAGCUGGUCUGAGAGGAUGAUCAGCCACACUGGGACUGAGACACGGCCCAGACUCCUACGGGAGGCAGCAGUGGGGAAUAUUGGACAAUGGGCGCAAGUCUGAUCCAGCAAUGCCGCGUGAGUGAUGAAGGCCCUAGGGUUGUAAAGCUCUUUUACCCGGGAAGAUAAUGACUGUACCGGGAGAAUAAGCCCCGGCUAACUCCGUG
This 435-nucleotide ribosomal RNA is filed under the name uncultured bacterium. RNAcentral describes it as "partial 16S ribosomal RNA". It matches the Rfam family "Bacterial small subunit ribosomal RNA", at positions 29 to 507 of the family's 1533-position model. The record is from RNAcentral.